Molecule: long non-coding RNA, 2322 nt
Organism: Dreissena polymorpha
Lineage: Eukaryota; Metazoa; Mollusca; Bivalvia; Myida; Dreissenidae
Exons: 5
Source: RefSeq, a predicted model, not a curated record
GCGCGGCGUUAUUAAAAUGGAAAUAAAGUUAUAAUUAUAUUAUGAAAAACCUAUUGAAACUUGAGAUAUAUGCAUAUUAUCGAAGAAUGAAAUGCCCCCGAGCUCUGAUCGACAAUGUACACUUAUAAUUUUUUAUUUGGUUGGAAGUAACCGUUGCUUUGUUGAGCGACCUCUACUAAAAAUGGCGUGUCGUAAUUAGCCUACGCAUUGACAUUGUUCACCGUUUGUUUGCGAGUUCCUUUGGAAUAAAUUGUCAAUCAAUCCUGACAAUAAUUUCUUCAAUUGAAGGAUCGUAGUAUAAAUCAGGUUGGACCAAACUACUUCAAGACUGCGAAAAAAUGUGAAGUCGUUGGUGUUUGCUGUGAAGGUACAGGAAAACAGGUGUUUUACUUGGCGAAUGAGGGUGAAUCACCCGGGAAAGGCGCCAACACUGUUGUUAGCUAUGUGCAUUACUAGCUUCAUCACUAUGGCCUAGGGGAGGAAGAGGCAGUUUUCUUCUUUGACAACUGCUGGACAAAAUAAGAACAACUGUGUACUUUGGUAUGCACUGUGGAGAGUUAGUGUUGGGCUGCACACUCGAAUGAGAUACUCGAUGAUGGUGACUGCGGCCACAUAAAGUUCUAGCCUGAUUGGCAUUUUGGAUUAUGGAAGUCAAAGUACUUUGUGAUGCAGAGACCAUCGAGGCUGUUGCUGUGACUGUAUCCACCUCCUCACGAUCUGGACUUAAUGUUCCGCACAUGAUUGGUGAUUUGGAGAAGCCUGUGCACCUAUACGAUCGGAAAACAUUUCUUGCCCAGUUGUUCAUACCCUUGAAGAACAUUUGAAAGUACCAACAUUUCCUCAUUGAUGCUGGUAAACCAGGCUUGGUAUUUUGUAAAACAAGUGAAAAAUCUACAGUUGAAACUCACUGUUUGUUAAACUUUAAAGAGUGCUGACCUCUUACCAUCAAUGUCUAGCCAGUCUUGCCCAGCCUGAAUUAAAGGACCUUGACUCAGUAUCGCCUGACAAUGCUACCUUUAUGAGGAAAUAGGGCAGUUUUUUUUAAUCAGACCUCUGUAGACAAGCUACCUGUCCCAAGCCGAAGUAAAACAAAACAAAACUGUCUGUGUAACUCAGAAGUUGCAAAAAACAUGUGCCCUGUCCUAUCUUUGUUUGUUUUAAGGUUGAAAAUUGUAUGAUCCUGUUUGUCAAAUAGCCUUAGAUUAUUUGUUUUGAUUACCAAGUUAUAUGUUAUUGUUUACCAUAUAAACUGUUCAUUGGUGAACUUUUCAGUAACAAUUAUUAGUGUGAAAAUUUUAAAAUUAAAUUGGCCUGUGGCAUGGUAUUUUCUAAAUUGAAACUUAUGAUGUGAUGCUAUUAAUGUAAAAUGUCAUGUCCAUCACGUGUGUUCAUUUAUUAUGACAGGUGGUAAUAUAUAAGUUUUGUUGAAGCUCAUCAUACCCAUGAUUGCGAAACCCAUUUACAUGUAAAAUAAGAAUGACGGUUGCUAUGGAAACAUUAUUUUGGCAUUUACUUAUUUGUUGAUGAAUUAAUGCUAUUUAUAUGAUAAUGGUAUUAUCUUUAUUUUAACUGAUUUAUAGAAGGUAUCUUUUAAUGCCUUAACAAUAAUACAUGUUCAUCUUUAAUUGUUCUGAAUUAUAAGUACAUGUUGUUAUUUGUGCUUAUUUACGGCGGUUUUACUAUGUGGGUUUCGUAAACAAAUUGUAGUUAAAUUGUUUGGUCAAAUAUUGUUGUUCUUUUUCAUGUUUGAUAUGUAUGGGAAAGGAUUUACUAUUAAAAUUAGUUUUUUUUUGCUGUUCCAAACAGUAAAAAUAUGUAUUUUAUCUAUUUGUUCCCAUGGUAACCAUGGUUACCAUCAGCAAAAUGUCUGAUCAUUAACAUUUUUACCAGCAUAUAUGUAUGGCACUAUUAAAUUACAUGUAUGGCGUUUACGUUGUGCAAAGUCUUAAAUAGAUUGAAAUCAAUACACUGUAAAAUAUGUGGAUCUUUUCUAAAAAAAAGGACAUAAUGCACUUUAACUCAACCUAUUUUCUUAGAUUCUUUUUGUUACUAUGUAUUAAAUAAACACCAUGUAGAAAUAAAGAUCAUUGACUAUAAGCAGUUUUAUCAUAUAUUUGACAAAAACGUAAAUAUUUAGUUUUUUUCCUGAUAUUUAAACAAUUUUAAUGAAAUUAAUGUAUUUUAUGUAAAUUCGUUACCAUAGCAACCGCUGUAUUCAAAUGAUUGCUUUUGUUCGCACAUAAAAUGUAAAAAUCAUGGUCAGUGUAGCUAAUGCAUUGAAUCUGUGUGUGAAUGCUAUACGGUAAAUACAUGUAUACUGUA